AACCACUCUUUGCCUUGCUCUUUUAGGCUACGAUCCUUAUGUGAAGGACGGAGUGACUGGGACCAGCAAAUACGCCCUAUCUCCAUGUGGUCCUCCUGUAUUGUCUUAUGCAGCAUCCUGAGCCUGCCUGCAUUUCUCAAGGAAGCUGCCUUUGACUAGCGCAGUGCCUGUUUGUUCCUCAGGUCGCUCACUACUUGUGCAAGCAGUUUGCCCUUGUGAAUCCCCAGGCUUUGCUGCAUGCUGUCAGGUAGUACCUGGAAGGGAAGUGUCUGACUCAUAAAUUACUCUUAGACAUGAUCUUCCUUGCCUUGAGGCAUUGGCGCGUCACCUACGUGCAGAAAGUGCAUUCUGCUCACCCCCCUUCAAAGCUGAGCUGUACAUUUUUCCAGAGGCUUGGGAUCUAUGAUCUUCUUGGGCUUUUGCCAAGCACGCUGAUGGAAACGCAUUUCCAGUUAGGAGCAAGUGCCUCUGCCCGAAGGAAAAAAAAGAAAAACCUAAGGCUUCCCAGUCUUACAGGAUUGCUUUGGUCGGGGAAGUAGGAAAGGAGAGAGACCAAGAGGAGGCAGAAAGAGGCUUUCUCUGGCAGAUCCUGGCUUGAAACAGCUCCCCUUCCCCGCCGCAAUCCAUGACCGAGGAAAAAAAAAGACCCCCCAAAAAGCAAAAUUCUCCUCCCAUCCAUGUGCUCGGCGGAUCGAUUGCGGUGGGCUUGUUGUUCCCUUGCCAGGAACCUGGCCUAGCUUCCGCCCCGUGACCGGAAGCAGGAAGCAAAGUGUCCUCCCAGGGACUUGAAAAAUAUGCCCUCGCAAGAAGGGAAGACUCUCCUACCCCGUUCCUCCAAGGGAGGCGCUUCCAAAACUCUCGGCCGGAUCAGAAGCGGGGCUGCCGGCAAGGGCGAAAGGGGUCAGGAUUCUCCUGAAGUAGCAGUCAAGCUGGGGCCGGAUAAGGACUCAUGUGACGCUUUCUCGGCGAUAAACUCAGGUGAUGCAGAAGCUGGUGAAGAUCUUCCCUUAGGGCCCAGUUUUUGCAAUGUGUCCAGCUUCUAG
Molecule: long non-coding RNA, 1043 nt
Filed under: Pogona vitticeps (central bearded dragon)
Lineage: Eukaryota; Metazoa; Chordata; Lepidosauria; Squamata; Agamidae
Description: lncRNA (ENSPVIG00000011340.1)
Source: RNAcentral